This 404-nucleotide ribosomal RNA is filed under the name Actinomycetes bacterium. RNAcentral's name for it is "Actinobacteria bacterium partial 16S ribosomal RNA". It matches the Rfam family "Bacterial small subunit ribosomal RNA", at positions 355 to 776 of the family's 1533-position model. The record is from RNAcentral. Lineage: Bacteria; Bacillati; Actinomycetota; Actinomycetes.
UGGGGAAUAUUGGACAAUGGGCGCAAGCCUGAUCCAGCCAUGCCGCGUGAGUGAUGAAGGCCCUAGGGUUGUAAAGCUCUUUCACCGGUGAAGAUAAUGACGGUAACCGGAGAAGAAGCCCCGGCUAACUUCGUGCCAUCAUCCGCGGUAAUACGAAGGGGGCUAGCGUUGUUCGGAUUUACUGGGCGUAAAGCGCACGUAGGCGGACUUUUAAGUCAGGGGUGAAAUCCCGGGGCUCAACCCCGGAACUGCCUUUGAUACUGGAAGUCUUGAGUAUGGUAGAGGUGAGUGGGAUUCCGAGUGUAGUGGUGAGAUUCGUAGAUAUUCGGAGGAACACCAGGAACGAAGGCGGCUCUCUGGACCAUUACUGACGCUGAGGUGCGAAAGCAUGGGGUGCAAACAGG